UUAUAAAUAUUUAGUGUUUCCUCUAAUAUUUUAUGUUAUUUUACACAUCUUAAUUAUACAUGCUAAAGAAAAUAAAAUGACUUUUUUCACCUAGCCCCGUAGGUGGCCCCAAGUCCCCUCAGUUAACCCCCGUGUACAAGGCAAAUGUUACUAUGCGUGCCAUGGAAGAAUGUUGGAAGGCACUUGGCUAGAGGGCUGCCCAUCCGAACUCAGAAGUGCUAACAUUCUUUAAAAUCCUUGUUAAAAGUAUGAAAUUCUGGCAUAGGCUUGGAUUUUAACAACUCAAAGCUCUUUUAACUGGAAAAAAUAUAUAUCAAAGGUCAGGCGCUAGAAAAGUUGUAAAACUUGGCUGCCAAAGUUAAUCUGUGGCAGAUUGUCUUUUCCAAGGAUGACUGCAGCGCUGUCUUCCCUCCCCCAUGGUCUUCUUACUCUGUGACUUUGACAUUCCUUCUAUAAUGAAAUGGGGUCUCUCUUCCUCCUCUAAAGUGUGGAUUUGUGACUGUGAUGGGAGCCAUGUCGUGUGACUUCCAAAGCUGGUCACAGGAAGUGAAGCGCGUUCUUCCCGGCACUUUUCAUACACUGCUUCUUGGCUCUCAGACUCUGUACUGUGAGGAAGCCCAAGCAGCCCCCAGGGGGAGGUUAUGUGUGUGAAGAAACUUAUUUGAGAAUAAAAGCAGUAAUAUCUAAGGACUGAUGACCAAAGAAAUAUAUUACAUCACUUUUUGUAAUAGUCCCAAAUUGGCAGUGUAGCCAAUUGGUGAGAGCACAGAAUUUCUGGAAAAAUCCCAGCCUGGCUUUUACCAGCUACGUGGCUUAAGUCAAGUUCCUGAAUGUCUCUCUGCCUCAGUUUCCUCAGAAGUAAAGUGGAGAUGAUACUAACAGUACAUCCCUCACUGUGUCGUUUUUAAAAGAUUAAAUAAGUUAAUGUUUGCAGCUCAGGUUAGAAUGCUGCCUGGCACAGAGCAAGAGAGGUAUGAGUAUUUGUUUACUGAUUAGAUAAAAAUAAAGAAUUGUACAUGAUCACGUGGGGUCUGGAAUCAGAAGGGUUGGGUUGGAGGUUUGCUCGACCUUUUUCACCAAGGAGCCCGAACAAGCCUUGUAGCUUUACCUGAGCGUCGGCCUUCUGGCCACUUGAUGAAGAUCCCCUGGCCUGUUGGGGCCGCAGAAAGAGCACGGAAUGCCUUCAGUGCCGUUAACUGUUAGCCUGCCCCGUGGUGCUAAAAGCUGAAUAUGGGGAGGUCUCUCCUUUCGACAUUUGGCGAGGCUUUCCUGUUUCUGCAGACAGAAAUUGAGACAUGCAACCCUGGAUAGCUAUGGAAAGUAGUGGACUCUUCGCAUUUUUUUCUGAAAAACCAAUCAAAAUUGUAAAUGAAUUGAAAUGUCAAAAUUAAUAAAUAAACCAAAGUUAGCAAAGGCUUUA
Long non-coding RNA from Camelus dromedarius (Arabian camel), 1420 nucleotides. RefSeq lists it as uncharacterized. The record is from RefSeq and is a predicted model, not a curated record. Lineage: Eukaryota; Metazoa; Chordata; Mammalia; Artiodactyla; Camelidae. The transcript is spliced from 3 exons.